RNAcentral lists this ribosomal RNA (253 nucleotides) under uncultured bacterium. RNAcentral's name for it is "partial 16S ribosomal RNA". It matches the Rfam family "Bacterial small subunit ribosomal RNA", at positions 524 to 776 of the family's 1533-position model. The record is from RNAcentral.
GACGAAGGUGGCGAGCGUUGUUCGGAAUCACUGGGCUUAAAGCGCACGUAGGCGGUCCUCCAAGUGCCUUGUGAAAUCCCCCGGCUCAACCGGGGAAUUGCUCGGUAGACUGUUGGACUUGAGGCAGGUAGGGGCGAGUGGAACUCUUGGUGGAGCGGUGGAAUGCGUAGAUAUCAAGAGGAACGCCGAAGGUGAAGACAACUCGCUGGGCCUGUCCUGACGCUGAGGUGCGAAAGCCAGGGGAGCAAACGGG